RNAcentral lists this ribosomal RNA (1416 nucleotides) under uncultured bacterium. RNAcentral describes it as "bacterial SSU rRNA". It matches the Rfam family "Bacterial small subunit ribosomal RNA". The record is from RNAcentral.
AGUUUGAUCCUGGCUCAGGACGAACGCUGGCGGCGUGCUUAACACAUGCAAGUCGAACGAGAAUCUGCGGAAAGAGGAUUCGUCCAAUUGAAGCAGAGGACAGUGGCGGACGGGUGAGUAACGCGUGAGGAACCUGCCUUUCAGAGGGGGACAACAGUUGGAAACGACUGCUAAUACCGCAUAACAUAUAGAUGUCGCACGGCAUUUAUAUCAAAGAUUUAUCGCUAAAAGAUGGCCUCGCGUCUGAUUAGCUAGUUGGUGAGGUAACGGCCCACCAAGGCGACGAUCAGUAGCCGGACUGAGAGGUUGAACGGCCACAUUGGGACUGAGAUACGGCCCAGACUCCUACGGGAGGCAGCAGUGGGGAAUAUUGGGCAAUGGGCGCAAGCCUGACCCAGCAACGCCGCGUGAAGGAAGAAGGCUUUCGGGUUGUAAACUUCUUUUGUCAGGGACGAGUAGAAGACGGUACCUGACGAAUAAGCCACGGCUAACUACGUGCCAGCAGCCGCGGUAAUACGUAGGUGGCAAGCGUUGUCCGGAUUUACUGGGUGUAAAGGGCGUGUAGCCGGGAGGGCCAACUCCGGAGGGGAAAUCCCCGGGGAUUAAACUCGGGGAACUCCAUUUGAAAACUACUUUUUAUAAAGUUUUUGUAGAGGCAAUCGGAAAUCCCUAGGGUACCCGGUGAAAUGGCGUAGAUAUUAGGGAGGAAUCACCAGGGGCCCAACGCCGGAUAGCUGGACGACAACUGACCGAUGAGCCGCGAAAGCGUGGAAAGCAAGCAGGAUUAGAUACCCUGGUAGUCCACGCUGUAAACGAUGAAUACUAGGCGUGCGGGGACUGACACCCUGCGUGCCGCAGCUAACGCAAUAAGUAUUCCACUUCCCGAGUACGAUCGCAAGGCUGAGACUCAAAGGAAUUGAAUUGGCGGGGGCCCGCACAAGCGGUGGAUUAAGGUGUUUAAUUUGGAACCAACGCGAAGACCCUUACCAGGGCUUGACAUCCUACUAACGAGAUAGAGAUAUGUUAGGUGCCCUUCGGGGGAAAGUAGAGACAGGUGGUGCAUGGUUGUCGUCAAGCUCGUGUCGUGAGAUGUUGGGUUAAGUCUCCCGCAACGAGGGCAACCCCCUUUUUUUAGUUGCUACGCAAGAGCCCACUCUAGCGAGACUGCCGUUGACAAAAACGGAGGAAGGGUGGGGACGACGUCAAAUCAUCAUGCCCCUUAUGUCCUGGGCUACACACGUAAUACAAUGGCGGUCAACAGAGGGAUGCAAAACCGUGAGGUGGAGCGAACCCCUAAAAGCCGUCCCAGUUCAGAUCGUGGGCUGCAACCCGCCCACGUGAAGUCGGAAUCGCUAGUAAUCGCGGAUCAGCAUGCCGCGGUGAAUACGUUCCCGGGCCUUGUACACACCGCCCGUC